RNAcentral lists this ribosomal RNA (644 nucleotides) under uncultured bacterium. RNAcentral describes it as "bacterial SSU rRNA". It matches the Rfam family "Bacterial small subunit ribosomal RNA", at positions 173 to 807 of the family's 1533-position model. The record is from RNAcentral.
ACACUAUUUUCCGCAUGGAAGAAAGUUGAAAGGCGCUUUUGCGCCACUGAUGGAUGGACCCGCGGUGCAUUAGCUAGUUGGUGAGGUAACGGCUCACCAAGGCCACGAUGCAUAGCCGACCUGAGAGGGUGAUCGGCCACACUGGGACUGAGACACGGCCCAGACUCCUACGGGAGGCAGCAGUAGGGAAUCUUCGGCAAUGGACGAAAGUCUGACCGAGCAACGCCGCGUGAGUGAAGAAGGUUUUCGGAUCGUAAAACUCUGUUGUUAGAGAAGAACAAGGAUGAGAGUAGAACGUUCAUCCCUUGACGGUAUCUAACCAGAAAGCCACGGCUAACUACGUGCCAGCAGCCGCGGUAAUACGUAGGUGGCAAGCGUUGUCCGGAUUUAUUGGGCGUAAAGCGAGCGCAGGCGGUUUCUUAAGUCUGAUGUGAAAGCCCCCGGCUCAACCGGGGAGGGUCAUUGGAAACUGGGAGACUUGAGUGCAGAAGAGGAGAGUGGAAUUCCAUGUGUAGCGGUGAAAUGCGUAGAUAUAUGGAGGAACACCAGUGGCGAAGGCGGCUCUCUGGUCUGUAACUGACGCUGAGGCUCGAAAGCGUGGGGAGCGAACAGGAUUAGAUACCCUGGUAGUCCACGCCGUAAAC